UAAUAAUAAUAAAUUUCUUAUGGUUUAAAUUAAAUUUAUUAAAAAUUUAUUUUACAUAUAAAUUUUAGUGUUUAUUUUUAAUUGUUUAAAUAAUAAUUAAUUUAUUAAAUAUAGUAAUUAAUAUUAAAAAUUUAAGAAAUUAAGAUUUAGUAAUAUUUAAAUUAAUAACAAAUUUUGUGCCAGCAGUUGCGGUUAAACAAAAGUUAAAUUAAAUUUUAUUAGUAAUUAAUUAUUUAUUUAAAUUUUAAAAUAAUUAAAUAUUAAAUUAUUAGGUGAAAUUUUAAUUUAAGAAAAAUUUUUUUGGGGAGAUUUAAUAAAGUUUUUUUAAAAACUAGGAUUAGAUACCCUAUUAUUAAAAAUUAAAAAAAUAAUACUAAAUUAUUAGAUAAUUAUUUAUUGAAAUUUAAAUAAUUUGGCGGUAUUUUAGUUCAUUUAGAGGAAUCUGUUUAAUAAUUGAUAAUCCACGAAUAAAUUUACUUAAUUUAAAAUUUUGUAUAUCGUUGUUAUAAAAAUAUUUUUAAAUAAUAUAAUAAUAUUUUAAAAUUUAAAUAAAAAAUUAAAUUAGAUCAAGAUGCAGAUUAUAAUUAAGAAUAUAAUGGAUUACAAUAAAUUUAUUUAAAAUGAAUAUUAAUUUUAAAUAAUUAAUUGAAGGUGGAUUUAAAUGUAAUUUUAUUUAGUUUAUUAAAAUGAUUAAAAAUUAAAAUAUGUACAUAUUGCCCGUCGCUUUCAUAUAUAAGUUGAAAUAAGUCGUAACAAAGUAGAGGUACUGGAAAGUGUUUCUAGAAAUAU
This 789-nucleotide non-coding RNA is filed under the name Chilo suppressalis (striped riceborer). The record is from RNAcentral. Lineage: Eukaryota; Metazoa; Arthropoda; Insecta; Lepidoptera; Crambidae.